This 773-nucleotide ribosomal RNA is filed under the name Pseudomonas sp. CMBL-Ag3. Its description in RNAcentral is "partial 16S rRNA". The record is from RNAcentral. Lineage: Bacteria; Pseudomonadati; Pseudomonadota; Gammaproteobacteria; Pseudomonadales; Pseudomonadaceae.
GGACGGGGGCCCGCACAAGCGGUGGAGCUUGUGGUUUAAUUCGAAGCAACGCGAAGAACCUUACCUGGCCUUGACAUGCUGAGAACUUUCCAGAGAUGGAUUGGUGCCUUCGGGAACUCAGAACACAGGAUGCAUGCAUGGGCUGAUCGAUCAGCCAUCGAUGAUCGAUGAAGAAAUGGUUAGGAGAUAUAAGAUCACACAGAUAAAACAGAAGACAGCCAACACACAAAAGAUAACAAAUAAAAUAUACACAAGACAACACAUCGAAGGAUGAGAGGCAACAUCAUAAAAGAGAAAAACAUAGCCCGAGAUAGAACAAAAACCAGAGANGAGAAAGAGAUGAGAGAGANUAGAACGAUUCAAAAGAUACAAUACAAUAGAAGCCCCAUAAAACAGAAACACAAAAGAGUCUUAUCAUCAAUCAAAUAGACAUAACAAAAAUAGAGAUCAGAGAUAACAAAAAAGAGGGAUAAAGCCCCAAAGACCCNGCCAGAAAAAGAUAGAGAANGACAUAAAAAUUCCCCCAAUUAAAAAAAACCCCCAGAAAUUCCUGAUAAAAGAUAUCCUNGAGAAAAUACCCGACCCAAGAUACCAUAAGACCAAAANCCAUCCAGAAACCACUAGGCCAGAUUAGAAAAAAGAGUUCCGAGGAAAAAUUUCCCGCCNUAANAGAUUAAAAAUUCCNGGUUUGNAAAAAUUUCCCAAAGAAAAAUUGGGUUCCACCCGGAGGGAUAGGAAAAAUUAACACAGAUUANCCACCCCCAGGAGAAGGC